Molecule: ribosomal RNA, 1639 nt
Filed under: Salmonella enterica subsp. enterica serovar Enteritidis
Lineage: Bacteria; Pseudomonadati; Pseudomonadota; Gammaproteobacteria; Enterobacterales; Enterobacteriaceae
Description: partial 23S ribosomal RNA
Rfam family: Bacterial large subunit ribosomal RNA
Source: RNAcentral
CUUAUGCGUUGUUGGGUAGGGGAGCGUUCUGUAAGCCUGCGAAGGUGGCCUGUGAGGGUUGCUGGAGGUAUCAGAAGUGCGAAUGCUGACAUAAGUAACGAUAAAGCGGGUGAAAAGCCCGCUCGCCGGAAGACCAAGGGUUCCUGUCCAACGUUAAUCGGGGCAGGGUGAGUCGACCCCUAAGGCGAGGCCGAAAGGCGUAGUCGAUGGGAAACGGGUUAAUAUUCCCGUACUUGGUGUUACUGCGAAGGGGGGACGGAGAAGGCUAUGUUGGCCGGGCGACGGUUGUCCCGGUUUAAGCGUGUAGGUGUGUGUUCCAGGUAAAUCCGGUUCACUUUAACACUGAGGCGUGACGACGAGGCACUACGGUGCUGAAGCAACAAAUGCCCUGCUUCCAGGAAAAGCCUCUAAGCAUCAGGUAACAUCAAAUCGUACCCCAAACCGACACAGGUGGUCAGGUAGAGAAUACCAAGGCGCUUGAGAGAACUCGGGUGAAGGAACUAGGCAAAAUGGUGCCGUAACUUCGGGAGAAGGCACGCUGACACGUAGGUGAAGUGAUUUACUCAUGGAGCUGAAGUCAGUCGAAGAUACCAGCUGGCUGCAACUGUUUAUUAAAAACACAGCACUGUGCAAACACGAAAGUGGACGUAUACGGUGUGACGCCUGCCCGGUGCCGGAAGGUUAAUUGAUGGGGUCAGCGCAAGCGAAGCUCCUGAUCGAAGCCCCGGUAAACGGCGGCCGUAACUAUAACGGUCCUAAGGUAGCGAAAUUCCUUGUCGGGUAAGUUCCGACCUGCACGAAUGGCGUAAUGAUGGCCAGGCUGUCUCCACCCGAGACUCAGUGAAAUUGAACUCGCUGUGAAGAUGCAGUGUACCCGCGGCAAGACGGAAAGACCCCGUGAACCUUUACUAUAGCUUGACACUGAACAUUGAGCCUUGAUGUGUAGGAUAGGUGGGAGGCUUUGAAGUGUGGACGCCAGUCUGCAUGGAGCCGACCUUGAAAUACCACCCUUUAAUGUUUGAUGUUCUAACGUGGACCCGUUACCCGGGUUGCGGACAGUGUCUGGUGGGUAGUUUGACUGGGGCGGUCUCCUCCUAAAGAGUAACGGAGGAGCACGAAGGUUGGCUAAUCCUGGUCGGACAUCAGGAGGUUAGUGCAAUGGCAUAAGCCAGCUUGACUGCGAGCGUGACGGCGCGAGCAGGUGCGAAAGCAGGUCAUAGUGAUCCGGUGGUUCUGAAUGGAAGGGCCAUCGCUCAACGGAUAAAAGGUACUCCGGGGAUAACAGGCUGAUACCGCCCAAGAGUUCAUAUCGACGGCGGUGUUUGGCACCUCGAUGUCGGCUCAUCACAUCCUGGGGCUGAAGUAGGUCCCAAGGGUAUGGCUGUUCGCCAUUUAAAGUGGUACGCGAGCUGGGUUUAGAACGUCGUGAGACAGUUCGGUCCCUAUCUGCCGUGGGCGCUGGAGAACUGAGGGGGGCUGCUCCUAGUACGAGAGGACCGGAGUGGACGCAUCACUGGUGUUCGGGUUGUCAUGCCAAUGGCACUGCCCGGUAGCUAAAUGCGGAAGAGAUAAGUGCUGAAAGCAUCUAAGCACGAAACUUGCCCCGAGAUGAGUUCUCCCUGAGACUUAAAGUCUCCUG